This 324-nucleotide ribosomal RNA is filed under the name Euglypha sp. (in: cercozoans). Its description in RNAcentral is "SSU rRNA". The stretch from base 109 to 324 matches the Rfam family "Eukaryotic small subunit ribosomal RNA", at positions 738 to 955 of the family's 1831-position model. Lineage: Eukaryota; Cercozoa; Imbricatea; Euglyphida; Euglyphidae. The record is from RNAcentral.
GAUUUCUGGCUGACCGUCCUGGCCCGCUUCUUUUACGGGAGUGAGUGCCGGUACGAGUUUGCCAUCCUUCUAGAAAGCCACGCCUACCGUUCAUUCGUGCGGGCGUGUGCGGUCUAGAUCUUUUACUUUGAAAAAAUUAGAGUGUUUAAAGCAGGCUUACGCUAUGAAUACAUUAGCAUGGAAUAAUAAUUUAGGACUUUGCUCCUAUUUUAUUGGUUUCUAGGGGUAAAGUAAUGAUUGAUAGGGAUAGUUGGGGGUGCUAGUAUUCAUCGGCCAGAGGUGAAAUUCUUGGAUUCGAUGAAGACUAACUUAUGCGAAAGCAUU